UAUAUGUGAAUGUAGAUGCUGCAACAAAAGAUAGCUCGAAGGCAAUUGAUAGGCCACUCUUUGGGGACUUCUGGGAAAGAUUCAUUGUUAGUAUUUCAUUCUUGAAAGCUUAGAAACUUGAGCUCAAACAUUUACAUGGGGACUGUGGAACGAACGUCCUCUUCAAACUUGAAUUCAUAUUGAUUUGAUCUGGAACUUACCAUGCUAUGGAGGAAAUAUUGGCAGUUGCCUUAAAUCUCAAUUUGAAACAUCUUUCUAACAGCCAUUUUUGAUGAUUUUUCUUUGGCUGGCAUGGCGUUACUGUUUUCUUAUUGCUAACAUCUGUUUUUUUAGGAUUCCUUGACAGCUCUCAAAGAAAAGCAACAACAAACUGUAUAUCGCUUGACUGUCGUGAAAGGGUGGAAUAGAGAAGAUGUAGAUGUAAAAAGCAUUGGGAAGCCUAGUUUUGUUGAAAUCAAGACAUACUGUGGAUCGGAAGUCUUUUGCUCAGUCAUGAUGAUCUUUUUUACAGUUCUGCCACAUCAAAGUUAACGGUGCAGAAUGUGUCAUGGCAUUCUAAUGUGAAGGUUUUCUCAGAGGCAUUGAGUCUUAAAAGUGAAGGGGAGUAUGAGGGUUUAUGUGAACAUGCACACUCAUGCAGUGUCCUGUCAAAAACCAGAAAGGUCAAGGUCAAUGUCCUAUUGUAUACAUGGUGGCUUCAGGAAGACCUUUCAACAGCGAGGAUUAUAUGGCUCUCACUCCAUCCUGGGCCAUCUAUGGAGCCGAGGAAAGUAGAUAUUAUCCCAAUCAAUCCUGGUACAGGAAAAAAGUGACAUCAAAAGUGAAAAAGUUAAGUAAUUCAGAAUUAUAUCAGUAUCGGGCAGCAUAAUCCAUUUCGGGUUAUCAUUUUCUUUGCAUUUUUACAGUUUUGCUUUAUGUGGCUAUGCUUACGGAUAAAAAGUCUGAUUGCCUGUAGCUUUAUUGUAGUCAUAUUCUCUGAAAACAAUUUUAACUUCAGCCAUUUUAGUUGUAGAGCUCAUGAUGUAAGUGGCUCAAUUAUGUGUUUUUAGUACAAAUGAGGUUAGAGUUUCAAA
Molecule: long non-coding RNA, 1073 nt
Organism: Gossypium raimondii (Peruvian cotton)
Lineage: Eukaryota; Viridiplantae; Streptophyta; Magnoliopsida; Malvales; Malvaceae
Exons: 2
Source: RefSeq, a predicted model, not a curated record